This 253-nucleotide ribosomal RNA is filed under the name uncultured bacterium. RNAcentral describes it as "partial 16S ribosomal RNA". It matches the Rfam family "Bacterial small subunit ribosomal RNA", at positions 524 to 775 of the family's 1533-position model. The record is from RNAcentral.
UACGUAGGGGGCGAGCGUUGUCCGGAAUUACUGGGCGUAAAGCGCACGUAGGCGGCUUUGUAAGUUAGAGGUGAAAGCCCGGGGCUCAACUCCGGAACUGCCUUUAAGACUGCAUCGCUUGAAUCCAGGAGAGGUGAGUGGAAUUCCGAGUGUAGAGGUGAAAUUCGUAGAUAUUCGCAAGAACACCAGUGGCGAAGGGCGGCUCACUGGCCCGGUACUGACGCUGAGGUGCGAAAGCGUGGGGAGCAACAGG